UUCCCCCACGUCCUCAAUCUUCCACCACAAAACUGCUCUCUCAUGACUUCACCUGCGAAGGUGCUUUCCACUUGCACACUAGGUGAGACCUGAGGGAGUUUGCCUCUCAACAGCCAGGGCCCCCCAGAAUCCAUAAUAAUACUCAAAACUUCAAUUACACGUGUGGUUCCAACCAUUUGAUGAAUGAAUGGUUUACUUGCCGAGACAACAAAGGAGGUAUCUGGAUACAGUCACCGCGCUGGGUAAUAAACCCGGGGAAUAUCAAAGCGUUUAGUCGGUUUAAAGACAAGCAUGAACUCUGGCAUGUAAGUAUGAGCUGUUCUCCAAGUAUGAAUCUCUGCAGUGUGUGAAACAGUCAUGUGGGGCCUUGACACAAAGCCAAAGAAAACAGAAUCUGCUUUGCAUAAGAGACAAAAGUUGCACAAUAGAGUCGGUAAUAUCUGGUCAAACAAACCUGUGAUUGAUGCAUUUCAGACAAUAGGAUAGUUCAGCACUGAAAAGGAUCAUGGGACUGUGACCAAAGAGCCUUUAGAUCACUUUUCUGGGAGAGGCCUGAAUGCGACUCAACAACUUCGUGGUUCUGUGGUUCUCAUCCCAGCAUCCGGUGGCGGCUUUGGGAACUGCACGCUGGGAGGGGAAAAGGUUUAUCUCAUGGAUUUGAUGUGGCAUGCAGAUAAGGGUGAGCGAGGGUGUUUUGAGACCCCACCUGGAUUGAGAACAAGCGGGGGUUCGACGAGGGACGCGGACGCUACACGGCGCACACUACAAAGGGCUGGCGGGGCGAGGUGCACGGACGCCAUAACACAGCCAAAGUACCAUUGUUCUAUCCCUGUUUCAUCUCUCCUCCUUCUCUCCAAAUAUUUGGAGGAACGCUCUGAAUAACAUACUGGUACUGAGAGUAUUGCACUCUGUAUAUUGUUGAAAGGAACUGAGGCAGUCUGAGUUUUUCGCUCUUCAAAGACGGUUGCUUUGUUUUGUUUGGGUUUUGUUUGCUCCUGUAUUUGAAUUGUGUACCGUGAUUUCGUGGAUAUCUCAUUGUUCCAGGAUUCGAGAUUGUUGAACGGAGAAGCGCCCACUGGCUCAUUUAUUUUCAUUGCGUCACGUGAAUCAUUGUAAUUGCGACACACGGGGAAAAACAGGCUGAAAAGAUGCAAAUAAUAACAACCAGCUCCCGUUUCCUGCUGCCGCUACUGGGUAGCUGAAGAAGUUUAGUUCCCCUUCAUCAUUAGAGCUUCAAUAGGACGGUUCCUAUACAGACUUCCAGGGUGCACAUUUCCAUACGCGAGUCAAUGGGAAGUCAGUGAUUAAAAAUCCAAGACCACAGCUUUGCAUCUGAGUUCAAAAAACACCGAGCAGAAAGCGUGGAGCUGGGCUAUUAAUCAUGUGAUCAGUGGGGGAUGAGUGCGAAGCUUGACGGUGCAGGGUUACAGCAUCGUCUUAUAGGGUCGUUUGAUAGCCCUUUCCUGGGGACCCCAGCAUUGAUUGGGCCCUGAGGGUGCCCUGCGGCGCUGCCCCGUUGCCAGGGACUGACUGACAGCUCUAAUGAAGCCUGCCAUCGUCGGGCAAGGGACCGCUCCAGAGCAGGCACCGAACUUCAAUCGGCUUGUGUGACGUCCAAAGAGUUUUGAUAUCUCGGCAGCGGCGAGGGGGUAGAAAGGAGACCCCUGUGGGAGACAGGCAGCCCUGGCCUGCCUUUGAAUAUCGCCGCGUUUACCGCGUGUCAGUUCUCGGUGUUGGAGAUGCACAGAAGGGAGAUGUGGGGUUGGACGGGUGGGGGUGGUGGGGGUGACGGGUGGCUCUGGUGAAUUUUUCAUAAGCAAAAAGAGAAAAAAACAGAGAAGGCCCCGCUGCCCCAUGGGACCAGGUUCAGAUGUUGUCAUGUGAAUGCAGACGCUGACGUUCUGUCGUUGUGCUAGUUCACAAUGAGGACUGUUUGAAUUGCGAGGGUUCGGUGUUGCAGCUUCGUUCUCUACUUGAAAAAAGAGAAAACAUGUCAGGUCUGUAGUUUUUCUCAUGCUUCAGUCACAGAAGUUGAAACUCUCUGCAUCCCUCUAUCCGCCACACACACACACACACACACACACACACACACACACACACACACACACACACACACACACACACACACACACACACGCUCCGUCUCCCUCUGAUGGAGGGAUGUUGAAGAGCAGUGGAACCUCAGAAGGCUCAUCCUCACUUUGUUCUAUUAUUCACCAUCUCUGGCUUCAGAACUCUCUAGGAUCUCCAUGGGGUUACACUCUCUAUCCUGAUGGAAAGACUCCUGCGCCGCUGAGAGCCUGUUUACUCCCCCGGCCCGGGCCCCGCGGUCCACUGGCGUAUACAAGCAGUCCCUCCACUUCCAUGCUCACAUCAGAGCCAUCAAAAAGAAAUCAAAACCAGACUGGUGCGAGCCAUUUGUUAAUCUCAUGUUCCCUGGCACUGUUCGGAGCUACUUGCCGAAUGAAAACGCGUCUGGCAGCUCACCUAAAGAGCCCGGGCCGCGACACUCUGUCCAGCGCUCAUCUCCUUUUGUUUUGUUCGCUUAGUCCAAAUCUUUACAUCCUCGCCCACUCUGAUACAAUGCGAUCCCGUCUCAGAAUGCUCAUUUGUACCAGCAUAAAUAGUUAUUUGAAAGAUAAAAGCAAACAUGUUUGUUUUUUGUUUGUGUUUUUUCCUCUCCUCAGCUCCCCCAAGGCAUUUAUGAGCACUUUGGUAAUAAGGACCAGAGAAGGAUUUCGCUGAAGAAGAGGAGCAGAGGAUGCUUUGAUGUACUCUUAGAUUAAGUGAAGUCUACGGUGAUGUCUACAAAAAUACAUGCAGCACAUACACUCAGCUCAGCGAAGUGGAUUCCUCUCAGCUGGUCCUUCCUCUCUGGUCCCAAACCAUCGCAGCAUGAAAGACAGUUUGUAUGUUCUGUGGCAGCAGGAGACUUGUACGGACCUUGUCGACAGCUUCAGAUGAACCGUUCCCCAAAGAAACACAAACUAGGGGGAAUUUUUUUUUCAGAAACUUGCUUUUUCCCCCCCAAACCAGAGAUUUUCCCCAACAAAAAUCUAAACUUUUAAAAAGACUGGGUUCAGAGUUGCUUUGAUUUUCGUUUUUUUAUAUACAUUGCUCUGGUUAAAAGAGAUUCAGCAACUAGGCAACGCUCUGAAGACGAGCGCGGGCCGAGCGUCCCGACGCAGCGCCGGGGUCUGAGUCAGAGGAAACCUCUGAGAGAUGGAGACAGUGGGAAAGAUUUUGUAACUUGUUAUGAAAUAGCAUUUUCAAUACUAAAUCUUAUAUUAAGUUUUCAACAUUGGUCUAAGUGCGAUGAGCUUUUCAGCCAGAGGCACCAAAAAGUCUUAACUCUAUCCUUUUGCUAUUUCGUUUAUUCUAAUUACUUGGUUAGUAAGCGGAGGUCCAGUGACGCUGUCAAGACCGCGUUGGGCUCAGUAAAAAUGUGCAAUAAGUGGGUUUACAAAUCAGCAAGCGGGCGGUUUCUUAAAAGAAACCCUCCUUGGCUCAGUGGCUGCUGCGAUUCCCCGUAUGCGCUGCGAUUUGUAUUUGUUUAGGCUGUUAAUGAAAGGUCACAUGAAUAAUUGAACAUAAACAAAGCAUGUGAUUUCUAAUGAGCUGCGCCUCUGUGAACACGUGAAGCCUGAGUGCAUGUGGGAUAGAUUCUGAUGAUCGAAUGCUGACCUCUACUGGACUGCGACCAAAGCCACUCCACACGUGCUGCACCCAUAAUGACUGAAUACAUUCAUAGUAAUCUAGUGCAUUAGUAACAAUUAUUUAUUCCUAUUUCUAUUUGGUCAUUUGUGGUCAAUGAUGCCUGCAUUGAAUUCACUCUUUAUAUCUCUUCUUUAAAGCAAUUACAGUAUAUAGUUAAAUGAUAUCAUUUCAGCAACUGAAUAUUACAACCUUAUGUUUUCAUAGAGGAUUUAAUGAAGCUCCAUGUAUUAGAGUGAUUUUUUUUACCUUACACUGUCCAGCUGCCCCAAGGCCUCGCUCCUAUCGACGGAUAAAACACACCUUUUCCCUAUUUUGUUGCCGUGCAAGUUCCGCUUCCCUUUUCCUCCCUACUUUUGAAGUUCCCCUCUCCUUCCCCACCCACACACAGCAGCGCUGCCACCCCACAUGGCUCAAUUAACAUUGUGGGUCCAAGGGUGUGAAUUAUUUAGCGAUGAAUUAUUAAUAAAUAAUAACAAUGAGGCUCUGGGGAGAUGCAGCUCAGUCAAUUAGGAGAGAUGGGGAGAGCGAAGGCGAGCAGCGAGCGGUUGGAGGCGGCGGAUCUGCGGCUGAUCUGAUCUCAUCAUUAUCACCGCCCGUCAGACACAAUUACCUCAGCCGCGCGCUCCCCAGCACUUCAAACAGCGGCCCUUCCCUGGGAUUCUGACAGCCUCCACCUUCCACUAUCUGGGCUCAGCCAGCGAACACAGCUCACUUCCACCGACUACAUCACAAGCUUGUACAGUACAGCGUCGCGUUUUGCAACGCGGGCACGAAAAGCGUUUGUUUGUGAUCGGCUGUAACAGGAUGAAACCUGAAACAUCAGCGCCUGUCAGAAGGUGACGGAGGCACAGGUCCUGUAAAUAAUCAUGGUCCUCAGAAGUUAGGCAUUUGUUGCUUUACAACAAAGGAAAAAUAACAAAGCAAAAUCCAAAUAUACAGUAAAUUACUCAAUAUUUUCUUGCAUAGGUAUUUACACCACAAAUACACAUACAUCGUCAAAGGUGCUUAAAAGCUUAAACCCAUGGUUCGUCAAUGUAGUCAGGGGUCGCAAAUGAUUUCUAAAAGUAACACCUACAUGUGUCGCUUACACUAUGAAACAUCCAGUAUAUCAUCGUUACCACAACGCUGUGAAAAUACUUCUUGUACAAUAAGGUUUACGUAGCUAGUGGAACAUUCGCUGCCUCUCAGUGUAGGACAGAGUCAUGACACAGCAGCUUGAAGAUGAAGUGAAAAACAGUAAACUGAAGUUAAAAAUAUAUAGGCGUUCAUAAGUCUCAUUCCCUGAAACAAGUUUAUGCUCCUGAAGGUAAAUAUAUUUUCAUAUUAGGAAUGUGAGAUUGUGUUUUAUGUAUAAGAAAACACAAGGUGGCGCCAAAGACCAACAUGGAACUGCAGUGCAGGUAUGUAGCUAAUCAUUCAAACAUUUAAUAAGUAAAAUUGUAAAUGUAUUAUCAGUAUUUAUAUAUGUUUUACAAAAAACAAGUAAAUAUUGUUAUGCGCUUUUUGUAUAACUUUAAAAUGGUAACUUUACAAUAUACAGCUAUCUUUGGUGCCUAAAACGGUGCUUGUGUAAUGCUGAUCUGCGUACAGCAGGUGGCAGUGUAAUCCCACAAUCAUGACCUGACAAAGGCAUCCAUCAAAACUAUUUAUUUAUUCUUUGCUUAUGCAUUGAUCAAUAUAGACUCUCGAAGUAAAACGUGCCUUUGAAAAUCAGCAAUGUUUAAGCUGUUUCCGUAAUGAAAUGUAAAAGCAUUUUUGUCAUUUCAAAUUAACUAAUUAAACGUUAUAGUGCA
This is a long non-coding RNA of Betta splendens (Siamese fighting fish), 5510 nucleotides long. RefSeq lists it as uncharacterized. Lineage: Eukaryota; Metazoa; Chordata; Actinopteri; Anabantiformes; Osphronemidae. The transcript is spliced from 3 exons. The record is from RefSeq and is a predicted model, not a curated record.